RNAcentral lists this ribosomal RNA (406 nucleotides) under uncultured bacterium. Its description in RNAcentral is "partial 16S ribosomal RNA". It matches the Rfam family "Bacterial small subunit ribosomal RNA", at positions 30 to 526 of the family's 1533-position model. The record is from RNAcentral.
AUUGAACGCUGGCGGCAGGCUUAACACAUGCACGUCGAGUGAGCGGCGGACGGGUGAGUAAUGUCUGGGAAACUGCCUGAUGGCGGGGGAUAACUACUGGAAACGGUAGCUAAUACCGCAUACCAUCAGAUGUGCCCAGAUGGGAUUAGCGAGUAGGUGGGGUAAUGGCUCACGUAGGCGACGAUCCCUAGCUGGUCUGAGAGGAUGACCAGCGACACUGGGACGGAGAUACGGUCCAGACUCCUAGGGUAGGCAGCAGUGGUGAAUAUUGCACGAUGGGCGCAAGCCUGAUGCAGCCAUGCCACGUGUGUGAAGAAGGCCUUCGGGUUGUAAGGCACGUUCAGCGAGGAGGCGUUACUCGCAGAAGAAGCACCGGCUAACACCGUGCCAGCCACCGCGGUAAUAC